UACGUAGGGGGCAAGCGUUAUCCGGAUUUACUGGGUGUAAAGGGAGUGUAGACGGUUCUGCAAGUCUGAUGUGAAAGGCGGAGGCUCAACUUCCGGAUUGCAUUGGAAACUGUGGGACUUGAGUGCCGGAGAGGUAAGCGGAAUUCCUAGUGUAGCGGUGAAAUGCGUAGAUAUUAGGAGGAACACCAGUGGCGAAGGCGGCUUACUGGACGGUAACUGACGUUGAGGCUCGAAAGCGUGGGGAGCAAACAGG
Molecule: ribosomal RNA, 253 nt
Filed under: uncultured bacterium
Lineage: Bacteria
Description: partial 16S ribosomal RNA
Rfam family: Bacterial small subunit ribosomal RNA
Source: RNAcentral